CGAGCGAACGGACGAGAAGCUUGCUUCUCUGAUGUUAGCGGCGGACGGGUGAGUAACACGUGGAUAACCUACCUAUAAGACUGGGAUAACUUCGGGAAACCGGAGCUGAUACCGGAUAAUAUUUUGAACCGCAUGGUUCAAAAGUGAAAGACGGUCUUGCUGUCACUUAUAGAUGGAUCCGCGCUGCAUUAGCUAGUUGGUAAGGUAACGGCUUACCAAGGCAACGAUGCAUAGCCGACCUGAGAGGGUGAUCGGCCACACUGGAACUGAGACACGGUCCAGACUCCUACGGGAGGCAGCAGUAGGGAAUCUUCCGCAAUGGGCGAAAGCCUGACGGAGCAACGCCGCGUGAGUGAUGAAGGUCUUCGGAUCGUAAAACUCUGUUAUUAGGGAAGAACAUAUGUGUAAGUAACUGUGCACAUCUUGACGGUACCUAAUCAGAAAGCCACGGCUAACUACGUGCCAGCAGCCGCGGUAAUACGUAGGUGGCAAGCGUUAUCCGGAAUUAUUGGGCGUAAAGCGCGCGUAGGCGGUUUUUUAAGUCUGAUGUGAAAGCCCACGGCUCAACCGUGGAGGGUCAUUGGAAACUGGAAAACUUGAGUGCAGAAGAGGAAAGUGGAAUUCCAUGUGUAGCGGUGAAAUGCGCAGAGAUAUGGAGGAACACCAGUGGCGAAGGCGACUUUCUGGUCUGUAACUGACGCUGAUGUGCGAAAGCGUGGGGAUCAAAC
RNAcentral lists this ribosomal RNA (728 nucleotides) under uncultured Staphylococcus sp. RNAcentral's name for it is "bacterial SSU rRNA". It matches the Rfam family "Bacterial small subunit ribosomal RNA", at positions 63 to 773 of the family's 1533-position model. The record is from RNAcentral. Lineage: Bacteria; Bacillati; Bacillota; Bacilli; Caryophanales; Staphylococcaceae.